AGCAGCCGCGGUAAUUCCAGCUCCAAUAGCGUAUAUUAAAGUUGUUGCAGUUAAAAAGCUCGUAGUUGAAUUUCGGGAUCAAUUAGUCGGUCGUGCCUCUGGUACGUACUGGUUUUAUUGGUUCCUCCCUUCUGACGAAACAUGAUGUCAUUAAUUUGGUGUUAUGGGGAGUUAGGACUGUUACUUUAGAAAAAAUUAGAGUGUUUAAAGCAGGCUUUAGCUUGAAUACAUUAGCAUGGAAUAAUGAAAUAGGACGUUCGAACCUAUUUUGUUGGUUUCUAGGAUCAACGUAAUGAUUAAUAGGGAUAGUUGGGGGCAUUAGUAUUCAAUUGUCAGAGGUGAAAUUCUUGGAUUUAUUGAAGACUAACUACUGCGAAAGCAUUUGCCAAGGAUGUUUUCAUUAAUCUAAGAACGAAAGUUAGGGGAUCGAAGACGAUCAGAUACCGUCGUAGUCUUAACCAUAAACUAUGCCGACUAGGGAUCGGAUGAUAGUUAAUUUUUAAUGUACUCUAUUCGGCGU
This 520-nucleotide unclassified non-coding RNA is filed under the name uncultured Glomus. RNAcentral's name for it is "SSU rRNA". It matches the Rfam family "Eukaryotic small subunit ribosomal RNA", at positions 569 to 1086 of the family's 1831-position model. Lineage: Eukaryota; Fungi; Glomeromycota; Glomeromycetes; Glomerales; Glomeraceae. The record is from RNAcentral.